This is a long non-coding RNA of Oreochromis aureus, 619 nucleotides long. NCBI's taxonomy places the organism in Eukaryota, Metazoa, Chordata, Actinopteri, Cichliformes, Cichlidae. The record is from Ensembl.
UCCAAAGAUUCUUUCUUUUGUUAUCAAUAGUUCUCAUCACGCUGAUUUAUGUUCAAGGGGUCUCCUUUCCCAUAAGUUUGAUUCUAAUUACUACCCCAGUGAUGUUAAAUUGGGGUGAAACGUCAUCAUAACAGCUUUGACUGACAGGUGCAGUCACGGAGAAACUUGCUUAUCUCUGUUCGGAAAUAGCAGAUAGAGCGUAGGCUCCGAGAAGAGGGCCAGUGUGUACGUUAUGAAAACAGGACCGACUGUUUUAACCUGACAGACUGAGGUGUUCUUCAGUAAACUGGACUACCCGACAGAAGGACCCGAGGCCCCGCUGCACUUUUUCGGAGCUGCCCUCAGAUUCAGACCUCAGCACCACCCAGUGACAGCAGACAGAUCAUCCAACAUGUUCACAUGUUAACUGCAAAAUGAACUGAUGAAAACAGUCCAAAGCAUGUCUUUAUCCUGUUUUCCUUCUCUCACCCCAACCGGUCGCAGCAGAUGGCCCCGCCCCUCCCUGAGCCUGGUUCUGCCGGAGGUUUCUUCCUGUUAAAAGGGAGUUUUUCCUUCCCACUGUCGCCAAAGUGCUUGCUCAUAGCGGAUCAUAUGAUUGUUGGGUUUUUCUCUGUAUCUA